GGGAACUUCCCCGCAGCACGUCUGUUUCAGUGUCUUU
This 37-nucleotide ribosomal RNA is filed under the name Eimeria bovis. RNAcentral's name for it is "partial 5.8S rRNA". The record is from RNAcentral. Lineage: Eukaryota; Apicomplexa; Conoidasida; Eucoccidiorida; Eimeriidae.